GGAAAGUGCCCUUUCUGGGUGGCUGACCAACCCCAAAUCGCCUCGGGAUUGCCUAAGAGAAGGAGCGCAAGGCAGUGAAGCCUCAAGCAGCGUGGGCUGGGAGCUGACAUCAGGUGACAACAAGAACACCGUCCCUGCUGCUAAGAGUUGUGCAGUGUGCCUUCCCACGUGGUGGUAGAUCGGGGGGCAGCGUGCUCAAGGUGUAGGAAGUGGAUGGGAAAAACCCAACCAACCCCAACAACCCUGUUGUGUGUUUCCCUGUGCCAGUUCCCACGCGGAGCUGGGGCCUGGUGCUGCCCAUGGAGGCCGACAGCACUACGCAGCGUUUUGCAUGCCAACGUGACACCGACCACACAGCUUGCAAACCGUGCAGGUACGUGGAGCAGCACGAUACACAUCCAGAACAGGGAAUCAAUCAGGGACAUUCAUUUUUUUGGUCAUUUCCCUACUGGUCACCAUCAUUCUGAGGGUUGCAUUCUGUACUUUGACAUGUACGUAAUAAAAGCUUUGGUGCAAAACGGUGAGCGUAGGCAUGUAAGUGCACUUCUGAAUCAAGGACCUGCUGUGUCCCCACCACCACCUCAGAGGAUCUGCUUGGGAUGUUACCUAGAAAUACAGCCUAACAAACCUCACACCCCUCCAGACGAAUGA
RNAcentral lists this long non-coding RNA (651 nucleotides) under Anser brachyrhynchus (Pink-footed goose). Its description in RNAcentral is "lncRNA (ENSABRG00000018878.1)". The record is from RNAcentral. Lineage: Eukaryota; Metazoa; Chordata; Aves; Anseriformes; Anatidae.